UUAGAUCUCCUUCCUCUGACCAAGCCUAAUUAUAUGAAGCUUCUAAAUACAAAAAUUUAAAAUAAAUAAAAAAAUUUAUUAAUACUGCUUGACUUACCUGCUAUGAUGGCCGUAAUAAUGAGCUCAGCUGAUCACGUAGAUGUGGAUCCCGAAGAAUCUCAAUAAUUAUAUUGCGGACGGCAUCCCAAAAGCUCUAAGAUCGUUGGUAAAAAAGCUUCUAUACAACCUCUUCAACAUGUGCAUCACCCUACGUCUGGAUCAUUGAGGCC
Molecule: long non-coding RNA, 269 nt
Filed under: Elaeis guineensis (African oil palm)
Lineage: Eukaryota; Viridiplantae; Streptophyta; Magnoliopsida; Arecales; Arecaceae
Description: long non-coding RNA (EGUI_LNC078774)
Source: RNAcentral